Sus scrofa (pig) is the source of this 1261-nucleotide non-coding RNA. Lineage: Eukaryota; Metazoa; Chordata; Mammalia; Artiodactyla; Suidae. The record is from RefSeq and is a predicted model, not a curated record.
GGUGUAGGCUGGCAGCUGCAGUUCCGAUUGGACCCCUAGCCUGGGAACCUCCAUAUGCCACAGAUUUGGUGACGGCGACGGGAUCCAGAGAGAACUUCUGAUGGCUUUGGGGACAAUUGGAAACAGAGCUUCUUCCUCCAGUGCAGUCCCGAAUGCCUGAAAGUCAUCCUUGAGGUUGGAAUCAGCUUCCUUCAAACUGCUGUUAAUGUUCUUCCCACGAAUCACAAAUGUUCUUAGGGGCGUCUACAAUGGUGAGUCCCUUCCAGAAGGUUUACUUUUACUUACCGAAUUUACUUUGCCCAGAUCCACUGGAAGCAUCACCAUCUAUGGCAGAUGUAGCCUUAUAAAAUGUAUUUCUUAGCGAUAAGACUUGAAAGUUGAAAUCACACCCAGGGGCUGCAGAAUGGAGACGGUGCUAGCAGGAAUGAAAACAACAUUAAUCUCAUUGUGCUUCUCCAUCAGGGCUCUUGGGUGACCAGGUGCAUGGUCAGUGAGCAAGCAUAUUUUGAAAGGAAUCUCUUUCUGAGCAGUAGAUCUCACCAGUGAACUUGACAUGUUCAGUCACUCAUGUUGUAAACAGAGGUGCUGUCAUCCAGGCCUUGUAGUUGCCCUGAUGGAGCACAGGCAGGGUAGAUUUAGUUUAAUUCUUAAGGGUCCCUAUCCCUUUCAGAUGGCAAAGGAGCAUUGGCUUCAACUUCAAGUUACCAGGCUCAUCAGCCCCUAACAAGAGAGUCAGCCUGUCCUUUGAACCAGGCCCUGACUUCUCUUUAGCUAUGAAAGUCCUAGAUGGCAUGUUCUUCCGAUAGAAGCCCGUUUCAUUCACAUGAAAAAUCUGUUGUUUACUGUAGCUACUUUCAUUCAUGAUCUUAGUAGAUCUCUGGAUAAUUUGCUGCAGCGUUUGCAUCAGCGUCUGCUGCAUCAGCUUUCAGUUUUAUGUUAGAAAGAUGGCUUCUUUUCUUGCACCUCAUGAUCCAGCCUCUGCUAGUUCAGACUUUUCUUCUAUAGCUUCUGGCCCUCUCUCGGCCUUCACAGAGUUGAAGAGAGCAGGGCCUUGCUCUGGAUUAAGCUUUGGCUUAAGGGAAUCUUGUGGCUGACGAGCUAUCCGGACUGUUAAAAUCUUCUCCCUAUCAGCAAUGAGGCGGUUUCAUUUUCUUACUCUUGUGUUCACAGGAGAAGCACCUUUAAUUUCCUUCAAGAACUGUUCCUUUGCAUUCAGGCCUUGGCUAAUGGUUGGUGCAAGAGGCCUAGCUUUUAACCUGUC